Molecule: ribosomal RNA, 1443 nt
Filed under: uncultured organism
Description: 16S ribosomal RNA
Rfam family: Bacterial small subunit ribosomal RNA
Source: RNAcentral
CAGGCUUAACACAUGCAAGUCGAGGGGCAGCAUGGUCUUAGCUUGCUAAGGCCGAUGGCGACCGGCGCACGGGUGAGUAACACGUAUCCAACCUGCCGUCUACUCUUGGACAGCCUUCUGAAAGGAAGAUUAAUACAAGAUGGCAUCAUGAGUCCGCAUGUUCACAUGAUUAAAGGUAUUCCGGUAGACGAUGGGGAUGCGUUCCAUUAGAUAGUAGGCGGGGUAACGGCCCACCUAGUCUUCGAUGGAUAGGGGUUCUGAGAGGAAGGUCCCCCACAUUGGAACUGAGACACGGUCCAAACUCCUACGGGAGGCAGCAGUGAGGAAUAUUGGUCAAUGGGCGAGAGCCUGAACCAGCCAAGUAGCGUGAAGGAUGACUGCCCUAUGGGUUGUAAACUUCUUUUAUAAAGGAAUAAAGUCGGGUAUGGAUACCCGUUUGCAUGUACUUUAUGAAUAAGGAUCGGCUAACUCCGUGCCAGCAGCCGCGGUAAUACGGAGGAUCCGAGCGUUAUCCGGAUUUAUUGGGUUUAAAGGGAGCGUAGAUGGAUGUUUAAGUCAGUUGUGAAAGUUUGCGGCUCAACCGUAAAAUUGCAGUUGAUACUGGAUAUCUUGAGUGCAGUUGAGGCAGGCGGAAUUCGUGGUGUAGCGGUGAAAUGCUUAGAUAUCACGAAGAACUCCGAUUGCGAAGGCAGCCUGCUAAGCUGCAACUGACAUUGAGGCUCGAAAGUGUGGGUAUCAAACAGGAUUAGAUACCCUGGUAGUCCACACGGUAAACGAUGAAUACUCGCUGUUUGUGAUAUACUGCAAGCGGCCAAGCGAAAGCGUUAAGUAUUCCACCUGGGGAGUACGCCGGCAACGGUGAAACUCAAAGGAAUUGACGGGGGCCCGCACAAGCGGAGGAACAUGUGGUUUAAUUCGAUGAUACGCGAGGAACCUUACCCGGGCUUAAAUUGCAGAUGAAUUACGGUGAAAGCCGUAAGCCGCAAGGCAUCUGUGAAGGUGCUGCAUGGUUGUCGUCAGCUCGUGCCGUGAGGUGUCGGCUUAAGUGCCAUAACGAGCGCAACCCUUGUUGUCAGUUACUAACAGGUUCCGCUGAGGACUCUGACAAGACUGCCAUCGUAAGAUGUGAGGAAGGUGGGGAUGACGUCAAAUCAGCACGGCCCUUACGUCCGGGGCUACACACGUGUUACAAUGGGGGGUACAGAGGGCCGCUACCACGCGAGUGGAUGCCAAUCCCCAAAACCUCUCUCAGUUCGGACUGGAGUCUGCAGCCCGACUCCACGAAGCUGGAUUCGCUAGUAAUCGCGCAUCAGCCACGGCGCGGUGAAUACGUUCCCGGGCCUUGUACACACCGCCCGUCAAGCCAUGGGAGCCGGGGGUACCUGAAGUGCGUAACCGCGAGGAGCGCCCUAGGGUAAAACUGGUGACUGGGGCUAAGUCGUA